AGAGCGAACGCUGGCGGCAGGCCUAACACAUGCAAGUCGAGCGCCCGUAGCAAUACGGGAGCGGCAGACGGGAUAGUAACACGUGGGAACGCGCCCUUCGGUUCGGAAUAACUCAGGGAAACUUGAGCUAAUACCGGAUACGCCCUUACGGGGAAAGAUUUAUUGCCGAAGGAACGGCCCGCGUCCGAUUAGCUAGUUGGUGAGGUAAUGGCUCACCAAGGCGACGAUCGGUAGCUGGUCUGAGAGGAUGACCAGCACCACUGGGACUGAGACACGGCCCAGACUCCUACGGGAGGCAGCAGUGGGAAUAUGGACAAUGGCGCAAGCCUGAUCCAGCCAUGCCGCGUGGAUGAUGAAGGCCUUAGGGUUGUAAAGUCCUUUUAACGGGAAGAUAAUGACGGUACCCGUAGAAUAAGCCCCGGCUAACUUCGUGCCAGCAGCCGC
Molecule: ribosomal RNA, 444 nt
Filed under: uncultured bacterium
Lineage: Bacteria
Description: SSU rRNA
Rfam family: Bacterial small subunit ribosomal RNA
Source: RNAcentral